This 228-nucleotide unclassified non-coding RNA is filed under the name plant metagenome. RNAcentral's name for it is "partial contains small subunit ribosomal RNA, internal transcribed spacer 1, and 5.8S ribosomal RNA". The stretch from base 1 to 53 matches the Rfam family "Eukaryotic small subunit ribosomal RNA", at positions 1778 to 1831 of the family's 1831-position model. The record is from RNAcentral.
GGAAGUAAAAGUCGUACAAGGUUUCCGUAGGUGAACCUGCGGAAGGAUCAUUCAUAAUAAGUGUUUUACGGCACUUUUUUAAAUCCAUAUCCACCUUGUGUGCAAUGUCAGGGUUGGUCUCUUUUGAUCAGCCCCAAACAUCAACUAUUACCUCAACUCUUUGUCUGAAAAAUAUUAUGAAUAAAACAAUUCAAAAUACAACUUUCAACAACGGAUCUCUUGGCUCUC